Molecule: ribosomal RNA, 427 nt
Filed under: Bacillus pumilus
Lineage: Bacteria; Bacillati; Bacillota; Bacilli; Caryophanales; Bacillaceae
Description: bacterial SSU rRNA
Rfam family: Bacterial small subunit ribosomal RNA
Source: RNAcentral
CCUACGGGAGGCAGCAGUAGGGAAUCUUCCGCAAUGGACGAAAGUCUGACGGAGCAACGCCGCGUGAGUGAUGAAGGUUUUCGGAUCGUAAAGCUCUGUUGUUAGGGAAGAACAAGUGCGAGAGUAACUGCUCGCACCUUGACGGUACCUAACCAGAAAGCCACGGCUAACUACGUGCCAGCAGCCGCGGUAAUACGUAGGUGGCAAGCGUUGUCCGGAAUUAUUGGGCGUAAAGGGCUCGCAGGCGGUUUCUUAAGUCUGAUGUGAAAGCCCCCGGCUCAACCGGGGAGGGUCAUUGGAAACUGGGAAACUUGAGUGCAGAAGAGGAGAGUGGAAUUCCACGUGUAGCGGUGAAAUGCGUAGAGAUGUGGAGGAACACCAGUGGGGAAGGGGACUCUCUGGUCUGUAACUGACGCUGAGAGCGAAG